Molecule: long non-coding RNA, 1047 nt
Filed under: Vulpes vulpes (red fox)
Lineage: Eukaryota; Metazoa; Chordata; Mammalia; Carnivora; Canidae
Description: lncRNA (ENSVVUG00000022050.1)
Source: RNAcentral
UGGGAGGGAGUUUACAAAACCUCUCUUGUUUUAAGGCAGGAUAGCCUCCAACGUACAAUAUAUGCUCCAGAGUUCCCUGUGGGAUUGAGGUAAGGCUGGACUUCACCUGAAGGCCUCAUUCUUGCUUAGUUUCUUCCUAAACUACAUCGUGUUCUCUUUCUCCCUUAUAGAUUUCUUCUGAGAGCACUUCCUCAAUAAACCACUUAGGCACAAAUCAUGGUCUGAGUCUCUGCUUUUAAGAAAGCCAACUCUACCAGGACCAUGUAAAGCUGAUUCAGAGAUCUUGAAGGGAGUUUUUAAUUCUCAGAGUGAAAGGGCUGCAGUCUAUUCCAUGUGGUCCUGAAGUUCAGUUUAAAUAUGCUUGAGGCAAUUUAAGCUCUCUGAUAUUGAAGACUAUUAAUUUUGUGCAUGAUAUAUAUGAUUGAAACUUUGGUUUAAAACUUAUGGUUGUCUGUAUUAAAUGUGUGUUUACUUCCAAGGAACGCUACCAUGGGCGUCCCACACUGACUCACUGUCUCUGUUCCCUGGAUUGCUUUCUCAGGCAUAAGAAGACAUCUUGCUCUGAACAAGUCUGCUGCCUAAUUGGGUAAGGGGACAAACACCAAAAUGUAAUCUGCAGGAGCUGCCUGAUGCAAGUGCUCACACGCUGGGAGUUCCUGGGGUGAGAGUAGAGUGAGAUCUGCAUGAUCCCCAACUCCUGCAAGAAGCUCAGUGGUCAUGAGACUUACAUCUGGACUUGGCUGGCCUGGAAGAGUCUGGAAGAAUGUACAAGACCUGCCGUCCCCAAAACUAGCCCUGGUGGAAGCUGCUGGCCCAGAGAUUCCCCCCUUGCAGACUGUUUUCUGGUCUGGCCUCUGGGACUCACUUGUGAAAUGGCUUGAGUGUUGGAGUCACUGCCUUAUUGGAGAGAAAUUUCAGAAGUCACCACCCCACUCCAGGAAUGAAGGUAAUGUCAAGGAUCCUAGGCGAAUAUCCCAAUAUGUCUCUAUGUUUCUUUCUCUCGUCAUCCUAGGAUGCAAACAGGUUGAAGACAGGAGCUGUCUUUAA